GCAGUUAAAAAGCUCGUAGUUGGAUUUCGGAGUGGGCCAGUUGGUCCGCCGCAAGGUGUGUUACUGACUGGUUUGCUCUUCUUCGCAAAGACUGCGUGUGCUCUUGAGUGAGUGUGCGUAGGAUUUACGACGUUUACUUUGAAAAAAUUAGAGUGUUCAAAGCAGGCUAUUGCUUGAAUACAUGAGCAUGGAAUAAUGGAAUAGGACUUUGGUCCCAUUUUGUUGGUUUCUAGGGCCGAAGUAAUGAUUAAGAGGGACAAUUGGGGGCAUCCGUAUUUCGUUGUCAGAGGUGAAAUUCUUGGAUUUACGAAAGACGAACAACUGCGAAAGCACUUGCCAAGAGUGUUUUCAUUAAUCAAGAACGAAAGUUAGAGGAUCGAAGACGAUCGAUACCGUUCUAGUUCUAACCAUAAACGAUAUCGACUAGGGAUCGCGGGC
This 438-nucleotide ribosomal RNA is filed under the name uncultured marine eukaryote. Its description in RNAcentral is "SSU rRNA". It matches the Rfam family "Eukaryotic small subunit ribosomal RNA", at positions 615 to 1060 of the family's 1831-position model. The record is from RNAcentral.